UACGUAGGAGGCAAGCGUUGUCCGGAAUUACUGGGCGUAAAGCGCGUGUAGGUGGUGGGACAAGUCUGCUGUGAAAGCGCCUGGCUUAACCGGGCGAGGUCGGCGGAAACUGUUCGACUCGAGGACGGUAGAGGGGGGUGGAAUUCCCGGUGUAGUGGUGAAAUGCGUAGAGAUCGGGAGGAACACCUGUGGCGAAGGCGGCCCCCUGGGCCGGAACUGACACUGAGACGCGAAGGCGUGGGGAGCGAACGGG
This 253-nucleotide ribosomal RNA is filed under the name uncultured bacterium. RNAcentral describes it as "partial 16S ribosomal RNA". It matches the Rfam family "Bacterial small subunit ribosomal RNA", at positions 524 to 776 of the family's 1533-position model. The record is from RNAcentral.